AUUCCAGCUCCAAUAGCGUAUAUUUAAGUUGUUGCAGUUAAAAAGCUCGUAGUUGGAUUUCGGUUGAGAGCGGCCGGUCCGCCGUUUGGUGUGCACUGGCUGGUUUCAGCUUCCUGCAGAGGACGCGCUCUGGGCUUAAUCGUCUGGACGUGGAGUCUGCGUGGUUACUUUGAAAAAAUUAGAGUGUUCAAAGCGGGCUUACGCUUGAAUAUUUCAGCAUGGAAUAACACUAUAGGACUCCUGUCCUAUUUCGUUGGUCUCGGGACGGGAGUAAUGAUUAAGAGGAACAGUUGGGGGCAUUCGUAUUUCAAUGUCAGAGGUGAAAUUCUUGGAUUUUUGAAAGACGAACUUCUGCGAAAGCACUUGCCAAGGAUGUUUUCAUUA
This 384-nucleotide ribosomal RNA is filed under the name Micromonas sp. RNAcentral describes it as "partial small subunit ribosomal RNA". It matches the Rfam family "Eukaryotic small subunit ribosomal RNA", at positions 582 to 975 of the family's 1831-position model. Lineage: Eukaryota; Viridiplantae; Chlorophyta; Mamiellophyceae; Mamiellales; Mamiellaceae. The record is from RNAcentral.